UACGGAGGGUGCAAGCGUUAUCCGGAUUUACUGGGUUUAAAGGGUGCGCAGGCGGAUAUGUAAGUCAGUGGUGAAAUCUUCCCGCUUAACGGGAAAACUGCCGUUGAUACUAUAUAUCUUGAAUGCCGUGGAGGUAAGCGGAAUAUGUCAGUGUAGCGGUGAAAUGCUUAGGAGAAUGACAUAGAACACCGAUUGACGAAGGCAGCUUACUACUACGGCGAUUGACGCUCAUGCACGAAAGCGUGGGAUCAAACAGGAUAGAUACCCGGAGUAACUCAUGACCAAGUACCUACUGUCACCGUAA
Molecule: ribosomal RNA, 304 nt
Filed under: uncultured bacterium
Lineage: Bacteria
Description: partial 16S ribosomal RNA
Rfam family: Bacterial small subunit ribosomal RNA
Source: RNAcentral